GACGAACGCUGGCGGCGUGCUUAACACAUGCAAGUCGAACGGAAAGGCCCUGCUUUUGUGGGGUGCUCGAGUGGCGAACGGGUGAGUAACACGUGAGUAACCUGCCCUUGACUUUGGGAUAACCUCAGGAAACUGGGGCUAAUACCGGAUAGGAGCUCCUGCUGCAUGGUGGGGGUUGGAAAGUUUCGGCGGUUGGGGAUGGACUCGCGGCUUAUCAGCUUGUUGGUGGGGUAGUGGCUUACCAAGGCUUUGACGGGUAGCCGGCCUGAGAGGGUGACCGGCCACAUUGGGACUGAGAUACGGCCCAGACUCCUACGGGAGGCAGCAGUGGGGAAUAUUGCACAAUGGGCGGAAGCCUGAUGCAGCAACGCCGCGUGCGGGAUGACGGCCUUCGGGUUGUAAACCGCUUUCGCCUGUGACGAAGCGUGAGUGACGGUAAUGGGUAAAGAAGCACCGGCUAACUACGUGCCAGCAGCCGCGGUGAUACGUAGGGUGCGAGCGUUGUCCGGAUUUAUUGGGCGUAAAGGGCUCGUAGGUGGUUGAUCGCGUCGGAAGUGUAAUCUUGGGGCUUAACCCUGAGCGUGCUUUCGAUACGGGUUGACUUGAGGAAGGUAGGGGAGAAUGGAAUUCCUGGUGGAGCGGUGGAAUGCGCAGGUAUUAGGAGGAACACCAGUGGCGAAGGCGGUUCUCUGGGCCUUUCCUGACGCUGAGGAGCGAAAGCGUGGGGAGCGAACAGGCUUAGAUACCCUGGUAGUCCACGCUGUAAACGGUGGGUACUAGGUGUGGGGUCCAUUCCACGGGUUCCGUGCCGUAGCUAACGCUUUAAGUACCCCGCCUGGGGAGUACGGCCGCAAGGCUAAAACUCAAAGGAAUUGACGGGGCCCCGCACAAGCGGCGGAGCGUGCGGAUUAAUUCGAUGCAACGCGUAGAACCUUACCUGGGUUUGACAUGGAUCGGGAGUGCUCAGAGAUGGGUGUGCCUCUUUUGGGGUCGGUUCACAGGUGGUGCAUGGCUGUCGUCAGCUCGUGUCGUGAGAUGUUGGGUUAAGUCCCGCAACGAGCGCAACCCUUGUUCACUGUUGCCAGCACGUUAUGGUGGGGACUCAGUGGAGACCGCCGGGGUCAACUCGGAGGAAGGUGGGGAUGACGUCAAGUCAUCAUGCCCCUUAUGUCCAGGGCUUCACGCAUGCUACAAUGGCUGGUACAGAGAGUGGCGAGCCUGUGAGGGUGAGCGAAUCUCGGAAAGCCGGUCUCAGUUCGGAUUGGGGUCUGCAACUCGACCUCAUGAAGUCGGAGUCGCUAGUAAUCGCAGAUCAGCAACGCUGCGGUGAAUACGUUCCCGGGGCU
RNAcentral lists this ribosomal RNA (1346 nucleotides) under uncultured bacterium. RNAcentral describes it as "partial 16S ribosomal RNA". It matches the Rfam family "Bacterial small subunit ribosomal RNA", at positions 28 to 1381 of the family's 1533-position model. The record is from RNAcentral.